RNAcentral lists this ribosomal RNA (253 nucleotides) under uncultured bacterium. Its description in RNAcentral is "partial 16S ribosomal RNA". It matches the Rfam family "Bacterial small subunit ribosomal RNA", at positions 524 to 776 of the family's 1533-position model. The record is from RNAcentral.
UACGUAGGGCGCAAGCGUUAUCCGGAAUUAUUGGGCGUAAAGAGCUCGUAGGCGGUUUGUCGCGUCUGCCGUGAAAGUCCGGGGCUCAACUCCGGAUCUGCGGUGGGUACGGGCAGACUAGAGUGAUGUAGGGGAGACUGGAAUUCCUGGUGUAGCGGUGAAAUGCGCAGAUAUCAGGAGGAACACCGGUGGCGAAGGCGGGUCUCUGGGCCGAUACUGACGCUGAGGAGCGAAAGCGUGGGGAGCGAGCAGG